Long non-coding RNA from Callithrix jacchus (white-tufted-ear marmoset), 2986 nucleotides. Lineage: Eukaryota; Metazoa; Chordata; Mammalia; Primates; Cebidae. The record is from Ensembl.
AUGGCAGUCACUCUCACUGAUGGAAUGUAAAUUAGAAUUUACUAGCAAAAAAUUCUGGGAAAUGUGCUCUUCAGAACUUGAACAAAUACUUGAACUUUUUCUUGUGGAACGCUUUUCUGGAGUUGCUGAGGAACCUCUACCUGGAGAAAGCUAUGAGUGUCUCUCAUCUUACAUAGCUGACACCCUGCAGCAGGUAGCAGACUACCUCCAGGUAGUCUUUCUUGCCUUGUGUAUUCAUGGAGGUAGGGGGUUGUACAUCCUUACCCGAGACAAAUACAGAGGUCGCCAUUCCUUAUGUCUUGGUCUCUUCAAUCUAUCAAGUUUCAGUUUCACGCAAGUUCAGCCAUAACGUUUGGUCUUUAUUUUUCCUCAGGAUCUCUUCAAGAGAACAGCUAUCACAGGACCCACCAAAGCUCCUCUGAAUGCCAUAGCACUUGGUGUGAUGGUAGAAAAAAGCACUUUUCCUCAUCUGAAAAACGGGACAACACUGGGCUGGGUAUGGUGGCUCAUGCCUGCAAUCCUAGCAAUUUGGGAAGCUGAGAUGGGCAGAUCACUUGAGGUCAAGAGAUCGAGACCAGCCAGGCCUACAUGGUGAAACCCCAUCUCUACUAGCAAUACAAGAAUUAGAUGGGCAUGGUGGCCUGCACCUGUAGUUUCAGCUAUUCAGGAGGCUGAGGCAGGAGAAUUGCUGGAACCCGGGAGGCCAAAGUUGCAGUAAGCUCAGAUCACACCACUACACACUCCAACCUAGGUGACACGAGACUCUGUCAAAAAAAAAAAAAAAAAAAAAACAAAAACCACAACAUAGAGUUUUGACAGUUCUCUCAGGAAUUAUCUCUCCUUUCAAAGCUGACACUUUCAUAGUGUGGGAGUGCUAAUGCUGGCAGAAACAGCUUGUCUCUCUGAGGCGGCUUAAAGCUCUCUCUAGGAAGUGGAGGCACAAAGAUCGACUGUAUUUUUCUCAACUUUGGGUCUAAGUCAAAAUCUGGAGAGAAAGAGUAUAAUUUGUUCAUUCCUAUGUAUGUAUGUGUAUAUUUAAGUGUGUAUAUAUAUUAAUUCUAUAUUAUAUUGUUAUAAUUAUGUAUAUGUAAUAUAUAUAAAACAUAUAUUAUUAAUCAUAUAAUACUUAACAUAUUGAUAUACACUCCCCAAUAUACAAUGGUUUGAUUCAGAAUUUCAUGGCUUUAUAAAAGCAGUAUGUACUUAGCAAAAAUCAUACUUUCAGUACCCAUAUGGCCAUUUUGUUUUUCGCCUUCCAUACAGUAGUUAAUAAACUACAUGAGAUAUUCAACACUUUAUUAUAAAAUAGUAUUUGUGUUGCACGAUGUUGCCCAACCAUAGGCUAAUGUAAGUGUUCUGAGCACAUUCAGGGUAGGUGAGGCUAGAGGGUAUUCAGCUGCUGAGGGGAGAGUUGUCCUUUUUGAUAGCACUAUUGAUGGUGUCUUCUAGAAGUACCAAAGUCUGCCUUCCCAGCACUUUCUUGCCUAAAAGUUGAAUUCUGAGGUUUCCUCAUUCUUGCUUUCCUUACUCCAUUCUUUUAGAACCACGGUGUCUUAGUGCCCAAAAUAAUUCAGCUCUGUAUUCCCAUAUCCGAGUUUCUGCCCGAUUGUUUAAGACUCUGAGAAUGCCAGUGAGUAUAACUUUGACUGGUUUUAAACAUUUUUUGUCUUCCUUUUUAUUUUCCAAACUUCCUUUAAGUGAAACUUUUGUUUUCCCUUUGACAUUUGUUAUUAAGUAGAGUUGAAUUGUUUUUGUUGUUUUAACAUUUCAAAUCUAUUUUUUAUUAUUUUUAAAUUUUGAGACAAAUAUUGUAGAACAAUAGGGAAGAAGAGUAGAACAUCAGUCAACUUCCUGUUUCUUAACUUCCAUUCCACUGGGGCAUGGUAUCGCAUUGACAAUCUUUCUUUUUACUAAUUCUGCCAGGUUUCAUUUCUGCUUUGUUUCUUCUUUUUAAAAAAUUAUUCCUUAUAUGUUUUCCUUUUCAUUGUCCGCCAUUGACCUUAGCCUUUUGUCUCAUUUCUGAGUACAUACUUUCUUAUAUUUUAGUGAGAGACGGGAUAAUUUCUAAGGUGCAAUACUAGAACAAAUCUAAUUUUAAAAGGAGUCAUGACCUCUUUAUAUUGAAAGUGGUAAGUUCGGCCUUGCUAAUGCUACGAAUGGCUUCACAUGUUCCCACUGAGAUAUUUUAUGAUCUCUCUGCCUUGUCUGUGCAGAGGUUUCUCCAGGGCUUGUGUCUAAAAAUGGUGGUUUUGGAAGAAGUCAAAUGAUUCUUCUUCAUUUCUUCUACUGACCACAUUAUUGAACACAAAUUUGUUUUUUUUCUGAUUGUAGGCUUGAGGGAUGACUAGUGUAAAUUUAUAGUAGUAUUUCAGUAACUUGGCACCUUGAAGUGAAUGAGCAGGGAAGUGCAGCCACCCAUGGAACUGGGGUAUUGGUUCUUAGGGAGCUGAAGCAGGUGCCCUGAGGACUACCAUUUUAUGUUCAUUCUUCCCAUGAUGGAAGCAAUGGGUAUAGUCACUGCUAUGGAUAUGGUCCUUCUGGCUUUCUCUCUGGCACUGCUGCCUGUCACAUUUGGGACAAGAAAUAGCAAUGUUGCUAAAUUUCUGAGUGCUCUAUUUUGUAUGUCCGAAUUUCCAAUAACUUACAUAAUUGGAUGCAUCCAUUAUUUCUGUGGUCUGCCCUCAUUCUAGUCAAUCUAUAGGAUUGUUGAACAGUGUCAGAAUCAUCCUCACUUAGUUCUGAAGAUUCUAACCUGUCUUGAAUAUUUGAACAAUCACUAUCAGAAAUUUAAAAGGAAAAAGAAAAAUUAAGAUGAGAAUAUGUAAAGGAAGGCUCAGGGAUUCUGGGUUGAAAUGCAGUCUCUUGCAUUUUUUUAUCGGUGUAAGUUUAGGCAUAUUUCUUAAUGCUUCUGUACUUUAGUUUUCUUAUGUUUAAUGGGAAUAAUGUGAAUGCACUUUAUAGAGUUAUUUUGAUGACUAAGUUGAUG